This 73-nucleotide transfer RNA is filed under the name Chroomonas cf. mesostigmatica. Lineage: Eukaryota; Cryptophyceae; Pyrenomonadales; Chroomonadaceae. The record is from RNAcentral.
CAUUAAUUCUAUCCGACAAAGGAAUAUGUUGCAUUACAGAUUUUGAAAAAAUGAACACUCUGGAUCAAGCCAC